CUGAGCUGAAGUCCGAUGCUUAACUGACUGAGCCACCCAGGUAAAUGUGGAACCCAUCUCUCCUCAAGCCUUUUGCGGGGUCAUGGCACGCCCUCUGGUGGCCCAUCUCUUUCAAUGGCUUUACCUGCCCCGAUGAGCAAUCUUUCAGAAGCCGUCUCCUGGUGAGGACUUCUCUUUUCAACUGAAAAGGAGGAUCCACAGGGUCUCAUCAGUGUUUGUGCACCGGGCAGAUUGGGCGUUUCAAGGAGCCGGAGUUCUCACUAUGCUGAACAUGAUCAACA
Molecule: long non-coding RNA, 281 nt
Organism: Prionailurus viverrinus (fishing cat)
Lineage: Eukaryota; Metazoa; Chordata; Mammalia; Carnivora; Felidae
Exons: 3
Source: RefSeq, a predicted model, not a curated record